UAAAAGUUUUAUUCUUGCUAUUUAUUUACUUUAUGAUUAUUUUACAUGUAAAAUUUUAAUUUAAUUUAUUCUUAAAGAAUAUUUUAUGUUUAUUAAAUGCAGUAAAAAAUAUUAUUUAUUAAAGAAAUUUAGAAAUAGUAAUUUAUAUAUUUCUGGCUAAACCCGUGCCAGCCGCCGCGGUUAUACGGAAAGUAGAAGUAAAUAUUAUUGGUUUGUAGUUAACAUUGGAGUUAAUUUAUUAAAUUUAUAAUUUUUAGGUGAAAUUUUAAUUUUUUAAUAUUUAUUUUUGGUGAAGCUAUGAAAUUUAUUUUAUAAACAAGGAUUAGAUACCCUUUUAUUUUAAAUGUAAAUAUUUAAUGACCAGGGUAGUAAUUGUUAUGUUCUUCAAACCCAAAGAAUUUGGCGGUGCUUUAGUCCCUUCAGAGGAAUCUGUCCCGUAAUCGACAUCCCACGAUAUAAAUUACUUAUUUUUGUUUUCAGUUUGUAUACCUCCGUCGUAAGAGAAUCUUUUUAGAGUUUAAUUUUCUUAAUAUAUUAAUUAUAUUAUGUCAGGUCAAGGUGCAAUUUAUAAAUAAGUGGAGAUGGAUUACAAUAAAAUUAUUUAAACGGAAUAAAUUAUUUAAUUUUUUAUGAAGGUGGAUUUGAUUGUAAUUUUAACAGUUUGUUACUAUGAUUAUUGGCUCUAAAGUAUGCACACAUCGCCCGUCGCUCUCAUUAUUAAAAUGAGAUAAGUCGUAACAUAGUAGGUGUAUCGGAAGAUGUGCCUAGAAAGUU
Molecule: ribosomal RNA, 774 nt
Filed under: Nihonogomphus semanticus
Lineage: Eukaryota; Metazoa; Arthropoda; Insecta; Odonata; Gomphidae
Description: 12S ribosomal RNA
Source: RNAcentral